Pan troglodytes (chimpanzee) is the source of this 3578-nucleotide long non-coding RNA. RefSeq lists it as uncharacterized. The transcript has 4 exons. NCBI's taxonomy places the organism in Eukaryota, Metazoa, Chordata, Mammalia, Primates, Hominidae. The record is from RefSeq and is a predicted model, not a curated record.
CACAGAAUUUUUGAUAUUCUGCCGCAAUCUAUUCCCAAAACAUCACUGAUGACAAAACGAUAAUAAUCUUUGGAAACAUUUCCUCUCAAGUUCCAAAGUUUUCAGUCAGUAGAAAAAAAAGAAAGAAGACAAAAUUUUAAAGGUGCUGAGAAAAGCCCAGGGCUCACAGCUGGUUUCAGCAACUUCAACUUGCGUAAGACCCCGUGUUUGUGAAAACAACCCAAGAAUCUUUGAACAGGAUGUAAUCAACCUCCGAACUGCUGAGAAAUAUUGCAAAAAUGACUUCAGCUGCCAAAAAUAAUGUCGUUUACAAGCAGCUCUUCCUAUGUCUAAGGAAGAACUAGUCACACAUGCGAGUUUUUGCUGGCUUGAGAACAAGCAAGGAAAAAGACAAAUCCCACCUAACCUAGCCUAAAAUACACAGUGAGUCUCAGAACCCCGCGGAAGCUGUGGCUCAUUUCUAAAGGUGCUGGCAAUAUCGAGGAAGACUUGUAUCCACAAAAUUCCAAAUGAUUAAAUGAUCAAGUCAUUAUUGUGAAUUUGGAUCUAAAUGACCUGGCAGAAACCAUGGAGAUGAUCUUGGUAAACUCACCUAAUUUUUAAAAUGCCUCACAGAGUUUAAUUUUGCCCUUUUGUGUCAUAGUAAAUGAGAGGCUUUCUUGCCUCCACUUCAUUCCAAACUCAUGUCCCAUGAUCUGCAAGAAAUGUUUUCUCUUUAUUUGCAAGCAUACUGCUCAAGCUUCUAUUUAUGAGCCCCUGAACAAUAGAAUAGACAGCCCCACUGAGACUCUUUUGCCUUUGUGUGGUACAAAGGGACCUCCCUCUAGGAGAAGACAAAAAGAAUUUAAGUCUAUAACUCAUUUAAAAAAAUCAAAACAAAGCAAACAAAACAGAAAAACCCCAGCAUUCAAUUAUUUCUGCUUUCUAUUGGAACUGGAGAUCCUCCUUUUUAACUGAAUUAGCGUAUUCCUGAGCUCAGGAACUGCAGCUAUUAUGAAAUUUAUAAUCUGUUUAUAGUACCUAACAUAGUAUUCUUAUUCUUAAAUAAGUUCCUAAGUAAAUAUUUGUGAAAUGAUAUUUCCCUUAAUUCAUUCUUAUUGUGCAGUUAAUGACAUUAUUUGUCAUUGGAUAUUGACUAUAAAAAUCAGUGCUGAAAGCCUUUACUAAUUAUUUAUACUAAUGUAUCAUUUAAUGUUUAUUCUAGCUUCCUAUGCAGACAGCCUAGUUAGGUCUGAUUAUGUCCAUGGGCCUAUCUCUAUAGAACAGGCAGAGACAUUAAUGCUAAAUAAAGUAAAAUGAAGAACAGUAAUUUUUUUUGCAUGUUAGUUCUUUGUUUUGCACUUUGUUUCAUUGAGUUAGAGCUUGAAGAGAUGAGCUAAAAUAAAGGUAGGCAAUUCAAAGAUAUUUUGAUUGGAAUUGCUGGGUAAGUGAGUGGAGAGAAAAAUGUUGGAAUACCUGAGCAUUCUCUCUCAGUGGCCUAGUUGAACCGCAGGGAACAUUUUGUUCUGAGGGUGAUUUAAAGACACUGAUAAAUAAGAAGGCAUCCUGUUAAGCUAGUUAAAGCUAGACUGAAUAAGAUAGGUUAGUUUGGUACUAAUUUGGGAUAGUUGAGUAGCAAUGGUGAGCCUGAUAAGGCAGGGUGGCUCUCAGUACUCACUCAGCCAUUGGUACCAAAGGAAAAUCAAAGGCUGCAAAAAUGCCAUGUUAUUAAACAUGUUUUAGGAUGUCUGGAGACUCAUCACAGCCACCUAAGCCCAUAAACUAUUAAACAUGACAUCUGUGCUAUUUAUUAACACAGGAAAAAGGUACACUUUUUUUUUUUUAAUGCACAGACAUUACAUGGAGACAUAUAUUUUUCCAAACCAGUGCUUAUCUUGAGAGGGUUAAGAACUGUCGACAAACUACUCUAAUGAGGCUGUUUUCUGAGGGAAAGCAAGCUCAGUAAAUCACUCUGCUUUUCUUUGGUCUUUUCAUCCUGCAUGUAAAAUUUUAACCACAUCUGAGAGAGGAAGUGAAUCUCUGGGCCAAAAUACUCAACAAAUGUCUUAUCCACAGAUAGAGGUAAAUGGCAACUAUAGCUCGUCAGUGACAGCAUUAGUCAUUGUGAUUUGUUUUUAACUUGUUACAGAGUGAAAUAACACUGGUAAGUUCUGGAAGGUGCUUCAUAGUGUUCCAAAGUGUGUCAUCCCUGUGCUUAUGCAUUUGUAUCAAGGAUUUAAAGAGGAAAAACUCAAAGCAAUGUGUUCUGAUCAAGAAAUGGCUGGAAAUGGCAGCUACCUGAUAUGGAACAAUCAACAACUGAAGGUUUAUUUUGAAUGAGAGGUGUUGUCCAACUGCAAGAUGGAGUGAUUGAAGCUGAGAAUAAAUGGAAACACAAUCAAUAGUCACUCCAGUGAGGUAGGAAAGAAAGCCAUUCCAAAGUGGCAGAGAAGCUGCUUUUUCCUCCUGCAUGCUGCCUGCUAGUGUGGAUCUUGGCAUAACAGACACUACUUGGCAAAAGAUCCAUCCUUCCUUUUCCUAUACUUUGCUCAGCAGCCUGGAAGAUUGACCUCAAAAGCAAAAUCACCUGGAUUUCCCUGCCGUUUGGCUUUCAAAUGUGCUCAGCCAAUGACAGGCUGGAAAGAAAUUGACAGCUUGGAAAAGAGGAAGACUGGUGUACAAGAUCCCUUCCACUCCCAUCUCAUUACCUGCCAUGGUCCUAGCAGUGGCUGUUCUUAUUAUGGCCACAACUACUCUUGGACAGGCCAACAUCCACAACUCCAUCCUUCAACUAGGCUUCAUUAACACUGUCCCUCGCCCUUAUCUCUUUCUGUGUAGGGGUGAUAAAGGUUUCCUGACAUCAGAGUUCCUGAGUGCCUCAUAUAUUCUUGUUGGUCCCUGAACCUUGCCCCAACAUCAAUAAAAAGUUCCUUCAUUAAAUAAUUUUCAGUUGAAUCUUUCCUGCUGGGAUCUGUCCAAUUCGACUUUAGCAUACUUUUCGUGCCAAGAAAAUGAUAGUUUCUUGCCAGGAUUUGGCUCAAAGCGCUCACAGUGGGUGAGGGGAUGAGAUUACUUAUUAAGUGAUAAAAUGGAGAUCACAGUGGUUAACUUGCCUAAGAUCACAUGGUUGGUCAACUCAUGGUCGAUUCAUUAAAAUGUUAAAACAUAGAAUCAGUCAGGCAGUGGAUGUAAUAGAUAAAUAAAACACACACGUACCCUUAAUAAUUUAUAUUCUAGGCCAGGUGCGGUGGCUCACGCCUGUAAUCCCAGCACUUUGGGAGGCCAAGGUGGGUGGAUCACCUGAGGUCGGGAGUUCAAGACCAGCCUCACAAACAUGGAGAAACCCCAUCUCUACUAAAAAUACAAAAUUAGCUGGGCUUAGUUGUGCAUGCCUGUAAUCCCAGCUACUCAGGAGGCUGAGGCAGGAGAAUCGCUUGAACCCAGGAGGUGGAGGUUGCGGUGAGCCGAGAUCGCACCAUCGCACUCAGCCUGGGCAACAAGACUGAAACUCCAUCUCAAAAAAAAAAAGUCUAUACACACACACACACACACACAUAUUAUAGUAUAAGGAGAAAGGUGUAUAACCGAUAUUUAAAAUG